Molecule: transfer RNA, 83 nt
Filed under: uncultured Acidimicrobiales bacterium
Lineage: Bacteria; Bacillati; Actinomycetota; Acidimicrobiia; Acidimicrobiales
Description: tRNA-Pseudo-GTA
Source: RNAcentral
GGGUCGGUCGCGCCAUGGGGCGCAGCUGGCGGUAAUCCAGCCGUCUCCCGACACAGGGGGUUCGAUUCCUCCCCGGCCCACUA